AAGGAGUCUAACAUGUGUGCAAGUGUUCGGGAGUCAAGUCCCAAGCGCGAAAUUAACGUAAAGGUGGGUUUCGGCCCGCUGAGGUAGGAAGCUUCGGCUGCACUAUCGACCGACCAUGAUCCUUCGAGUGAAAGGUUUGAGUGUGAGCAUACAUGUUGGGACCCGAAAGAUGGUGAACUAUGCUUGAGUAGGACGAAGCCAGGGGAAACUCUGGUGGAGGUCCGUAGCGAUUCUAACGUGCAAAUUGAUCGUCGAACUUGAGUAUAGGGGCGAAAGACUAAUCGAACCAUCUAGUAGCUGGUUCCUCCCGAAAUUUCCCUUAGGAUAGCUGCAACCGAACAGUUUUAUCAGGUAAAGCGAAUGAUUAGAGGCCUCAGGGGUGAAAUGCUCUUGACCUAUUCUCAAACUUUAAAUGGGUAAGAGCCCCGAGUUGCUUAAUUGAACUCGGCGGUCGAAUGACUGUUGCUAGUGGGCCAAUCUGGGUAAGCUAGAUUGGCGAUGCGGGAUGCUCCGAACGUUAAGUUAAAGUGCCAAAGUAUCCGCUAACCUAGAUCCCACAAAAGGUGUUGGUUCAUUAAGACAGCAGGACGGUGGCCAUGGAAGUCGGAAC
RNAcentral lists this ribosomal RNA (610 nucleotides) under Thouarella cf. viridis 68221. Its description in RNAcentral is "eukaryotic LSU rRNA". It matches the Rfam family "Eukaryotic large subunit ribosomal RNA", at positions 668 to 1267 of the family's 3401-position model. The record is from RNAcentral. Lineage: Eukaryota; Metazoa; Cnidaria; Anthozoa; Scleralcyonacea; Primnoidae.